RNAcentral lists this ribosomal RNA (325 nucleotides) under Acidobacteria bacterium enrichment culture clone C28_08_H08. RNAcentral describes it as "bacterial SSU rRNA". It matches the Rfam family "Bacterial small subunit ribosomal RNA", at positions 15 to 354 of the family's 1533-position model. The record is from RNAcentral. Lineage: Bacteria; Pseudomonadati; Acidobacteriota.
GAUCCUGGCUCAGAAUCAACGCUGGCGGCGUGCCUAACACAUGCAAGUCGCACGAGAAAGGGUAGCAAUACCUGAGUAAAGUGGCGCACGGGUGAGUAACACGUGAAUUAUCUACCUCCGAGUGGGGAAUAACUGAGAGAAAUCUUAGCUAAUACCGCAUAACACUUACGAGUCAAAGCAGCAAUGCGCUUGGAGAGGAGUUCGCGGCCGAUUAGUUAGUUGGCGGGGUAAUGGCCCACCAAGACGAUGAUCGGUAUCCGGCCUGAGAGGGCGCACGGACACACUGGAACUGAAACACGGUCCAGACUCCUACGGGAGGCAGCAG